This 146-nucleotide ribosomal RNA is filed under the name Salmonella enterica subsp. enterica serovar Bovismorbificans. RNAcentral's name for it is "partial 16S ribosomal RNA". It matches the Rfam family "Bacterial small subunit ribosomal RNA", at positions 1398 to 1533 of the family's 1533-position model. Lineage: Bacteria; Pseudomonadati; Pseudomonadota; Gammaproteobacteria; Enterobacterales; Enterobacteriaceae. RNAcentral also lists the same sequence under 1 other name. The record is from RNAcentral.
CACACCAUGGGAGUGGGUUGCAAAAGAAGUAGGUAGCUUAACCUUCGGGAGGGCGCUUACCACUUUGUGAUUCAUGACUGGGGUGAAGUCGUAACAAGGUAACCGUAGGGGAACCUGCGGUUGGAUCACCUCCUUACCUUAAAGAA